RNAcentral lists this small nuclear RNA (87 nucleotides) under Arabidopsis thaliana (thale cress). The record is from RNAcentral. Lineage: Eukaryota; Viridiplantae; Streptophyta; Magnoliopsida; Brassicales; Brassicaceae.
AACCUUUGGGGACAUCCGAUAAAAUUGGGACGAUACAGAGAAGAUUAGCAUGGCUUCUGCGCAAGGAUGACACGUAUAAGUCAGAGA